UACGAGUGCCUCAAGCGUUAUCCGGAAUUAUUGGGCGUAAAGGGCGCGUAGGCGGCCCGCUAAGUCGAACGUGAAAUCCCCAGGCUCAACCUGGGAACUGCGUCCGAUACUGGCAGGCUUGAAUCCGGGAGAGGGAUGUGGAAUUCCAGGUGUAGCGGUGAAAUGCGUAGAUAUCUGGAGGAACACCGGUGGCGAAGGCGGCAUCCUGGACCGGCAUUGACGCUGAGGCGCGAAAGCUAGGGGAGCAAACGGG
Molecule: ribosomal RNA, 253 nt
Filed under: uncultured bacterium
Lineage: Bacteria
Description: partial 16S ribosomal RNA
Rfam family: Bacterial small subunit ribosomal RNA
Source: RNAcentral